UACGUAGGUGGCAAGCGUUGUCCGGAUUUACUGGGCGUAAAGAGCGCGCAGGCGGUCGUUCAAGUCGCGUGUGAAAGCCCCCGGCUCAACUGGGGAGGGUCACGCGAUACUGAUCGACUGGAAGGCAGGAGAGGGUAGUGGAAUUCCCGGUGUAGUGGUGAAAUGCGUAGAUAUCGGGAGGAACACCAGUGGCGAAGGCGGCGAUCUGGGAAGAUACUGACGCUGAGGUGCGAAAGCGUGGGGAGCAAACAGG
This 253-nucleotide ribosomal RNA is filed under the name uncultured bacterium. Its description in RNAcentral is "partial 16S ribosomal RNA". It matches the Rfam family "Bacterial small subunit ribosomal RNA", at positions 524 to 776 of the family's 1533-position model. The record is from RNAcentral.